Molecule: ribosomal RNA, 1343 nt
Filed under: uncultured bacterium
Lineage: Bacteria
Description: 16S ribosomal RNA
Rfam family: Bacterial small subunit ribosomal RNA
Source: RNAcentral
GACGAACGCUGUCGGCGUGCUUAACACAUGCAAGUCGAACGGAAAGGCCCUGCUUUUGUGGGGUGCUCGAGUGGCGAACGGGUGAGUAACACGUGAGUAACCUGCCCUUGACUUUGGGAUAACUUCAGGAAACUGGGGCUAAUACCGGAUAGGAGCUCCUGCUGCAUGGUGGGGGUUGGAAAGUUUCGGCGGUUGGGGAUGGACUCGCGGCUUAUCAGCUUGUUGGUGGGGUAGUGGCUUACCAAGGCUUUGACGGGUAGCCGGCCUGAGAGGGUGACCGGCCACAUUGGGACUGAGAUACGGCCCAGACUCCUACGGGAGGCAGCAGUGGGGAAUAUUGCACAAUGGGCGGAAGCCUGAUGCAGCAACGCCGCGUGCGGGAUGACGGCCUUCGGGUUGUAAACCGCCUUCGCCUGUGACGAAGCGUGAGUGACGGUAAUGGGUAAAGAAGCACCGGCUAACUACGUGCCAGCAGCCGCGGUGAUACGUAGGGUGCGAGCGUUGUCCGGAUUUAUUGGGCGUAAAGGGCUCGUAGGUGGUUGAUCGCGUCGGAAGUGUAAUCUUGGGGCUUAGCCCUGAGCGUGCUUUCGAUACGGGUUGACUUGAGGAAGGUAGGGGAGAAUGGAAUUCCUGGUGGAGCGGUGGAAUGCGCAGAUAUCAGGAGGAACACCAGUGGCGAAGGCGGUUCUCUGGGCCUUUCCUGACGCUGAGGAGCGAAAGCGUGGGGAGCGAACAGGCUUAGAUACCCUGGUAGUCCACGCUGUAAACGGUGGGUACUAGGUGUGGGGUCCAUUCCACGGGUUCCGUGCCGUAGCUAACGCUUUAAGUACCCCGCCUGGGGAGUACGGCCGCAAGGCUAAGACUCAAAGGAAUUGACGGGGCCCCGCACAAGCGGCGGAGCAUGCGGAUUAAUUCGAUGCAACGCGUAGAACCUUACCUGGGUUUGACAUGGAUCGGGAGUGCUCAGAGAUGGGUGUGCCUCUUUUGGGGUCGGUUCACAGGUGGUGCAUGGCUGUCGUCAGCUCGUGUCGUGAGAUGUUGGGUUAAGUCCCGCAACGAGCGCAACCCUUGUUCACUGUUGCCAGCACGUUAUGGUGGGGACUCAGUGGAGACCGCCGGGGUCAACUCGGAGGAAGGUGGGGAUGACGUCAAGUCAUCACGCCCCUUAUGUCCAGGGCUUCACGCAUGCUACAAUGGCUGGUACAGAGAGUGGCGAGCCUGUGAGGGUGAGCGAAUCUCGGAAAGCCGGUCUCAGUUCGGAUUGGGGUCUGCAACUCGACCUCAUGAAGUCGGAGUCGCUAGUAAUCGCAGAUCAGCAACGCUGCGGUGAAUACGUUCCCGGG